RNAcentral lists this transfer RNA (73 nucleotides) under Zingiber officinale. It matches the Rfam family "tRNA". From Rfam's summary of the family: Transfer RNA (tRNA) molecules are approximately 80 nucleotides in length. Their secondary structure includes four short double-helical elements and three loops (D, anti-codon, and T loops). Further hydrogen bonds mediate the characteristic L-shaped molecular structure. tRNAs have two regions of fundamental functional importance: the anti-codon, which is responsible for specific mRNA codon recognition, and the 3' end, to which the tRNAs corresponding amino acid is attached (by aminoacyl-tRNA synthetases). tRNAs cope with the degeneracy of the genetic code in two manners: having more than one tRNA (with a specific anti-codon) for a particular amino acid; and 'wobble' base-pairing, i.e. permitting non-standard base-pairing at the 3rd anti-codon position. The record is from Rfam by way of RNAcentral. Lineage: Eukaryota; Viridiplantae; Streptophyta; Magnoliopsida; Zingiberales; Zingiberaceae.
UGCGGGGUAGAGUAAUGGUUCACUCAACAGAUUCAUGAUCUGGAGAUUGCAGGUUCGAAUCCUGUCUCCGCCU